RNAcentral lists this non-coding RNA (91 nucleotides) under Methyloglobulus morosus KoM1. Its description in RNAcentral is "Methylococcaceae bacterium KoM1 c-di-GMP-I riboswitch aptamer". It matches the Rfam family "c-di-GMP-I riboswitch aptamer". From Rfam's summary of the family: GEMM was predicted in a large-scale screen for bacterial structured RNA regulatory elements. The record is from Rfam by way of RNAcentral. RNAcentral also lists the same sequence under 1 other name. Lineage: Bacteria; Pseudomonadati; Pseudomonadota; Gammaproteobacteria; Methylococcales; Methylococcaceae.
ACGUGUAAAAGCCAAACCCGUUGCGAGGCGGGGACGGAAAACCACAGGUCUUGACCUUCUUUACAGGGUCCAAGAUAGCUGGGCUGUCACC